Molecule: ribosomal RNA, 1245 nt
Filed under: invertebrate metagenome
Description: SSU rRNA
Rfam family: Eukaryotic small subunit ribosomal RNA
Source: RNAcentral
CCUGGUUGAUCCUGCCAGUAGUCAUAUGCUUAUCUCAAAGAUUAAGCCAUGCAUGUCUCAGCACAAGCCAAUAUAUGGUAAAGCCGCGAAUGGCUCAUUACAACAGCCACUGUUUAUUAGAUCAUCCUUCUUACUUGGAUAACUGUGGAAAAGCUAGAGCUAAUACAUGCUACAAGCUCUGACCUUACGGAAGGAGCGCAUUUAUUAGAACAAAACCAAUCGGACUUUGUCCGUCAUUUGGUGAAUCUGAAUAACUAUGCAGAUCGCACGGUCUUAGAACCGGCGACAUAUCUUUCAAAUGUCUGCCUUAUCAACUUUCGAUGGUAGUUUAUGCGCCUACCAUGGUUGUAACGGGUAACGAAGAAUCAGGGUUUGAUUUCGGAGAGGGAGCCUGAGAAACGGCUACCACAUCCAAGGAAGGCAGCAGGCACGCAAAUUACCCACUCCCGGCACGGGGAGGUAGUGACGAAACAUAACGAGGCGAUUCUCUACGAGACUCGCCAUCGGAAUGGGUACAAUCUAAAUCCUUUAACGAGGAUCUAUUGGAGGGCAAGUCUGGUGCCAGCAGCCGCGGUAAUUCCAGCUCCAAUAGCGUAUAUUAACGUUGUUGCGUUUAAAAAGCUCGUAGUUGGAUCUGCGACCUAGGAUAGCGGUCUGCCAAACGGUGUGUACUGCUCUUUCUGGUCUUGUUAUCCGGUUUUCCCUUGAUGCUCUUUGUUGAGUGUCCUGGGUGGCUGGAGAGUUUACUUUGAAAAAAUUAGAGUGCUCAAAGCAGGCGGUCUGCCUGAAUAAUGGUGCAUGGAAUAAUGGAAUAGGACCUCGGUUCUAUUUUGUUGGUUUUCGGAGCACGAGGUAAUGAUUAAAAGGGACAGACGGGGGCAUUCGUAUUGUGGCGCUAGAGGUGAAAUUCUUGGACCGCCGCAAGACGAACUACUGCGAAAGCAUUUGCCAAGAAUGUUUUCAUUAAUCAAGAACGAAAGUUAGAGGUUCGAAGGCGAUCAGAUACCGCCCUAGUUCUAACCGUAAACGAUGCCAUCUAGCGAUCCGCAGGAGUUAAAUUUAUGACUCUGCGGGAAGCUUCCGGGAAACCAAAGUUUUUGGGUUCCGGGGGAAGUAUGGUUGCAAAGCUGAAACUUAAAGGAAUUGACGGAAGGGCACCACCACGAGUGGAGCGUGCGGCUUACUUUGACUCAACGCGGGGAAACUCACCCGGCCCGGACACCGUAGGGAUUGACAGACUGAUAG